Molecule: non-coding RNA, 46 nt
Organism: Pteropus alecto (black flying fox)
Lineage: Eukaryota; Metazoa; Chordata; Mammalia; Chiroptera; Pteropodidae
Source: Rfam
GCUAAGGCUCUUUUCAGAGCCACAGAGCUUGGAGAACGUGUCAUAU